Long non-coding RNA from Pan paniscus (pygmy chimpanzee), 784 nucleotides. The record is from Ensembl. Lineage: Eukaryota; Metazoa; Chordata; Mammalia; Primates; Hominidae.
UUAUUCUGAGCCUCAUUCUAGAUGCUGAGGGCAAUGGAAGCACAUAACUUAUGCAAGAGAACCUCUUGUUCUGUGAUAUGCAGCAUCUUGUGACCUUGGUGAUAUAUUAACAUAUCAAGCAAAGAGAUGCAGAUAGAUCUUUGGGCAUAUUUGAUGAACGGUUACACCCAUUUACAGAAUGAGUUGGAAAGGGAAUUCUUGAAGCUAAUUAAUUACAAUAUCAGCGUUACUGGCAGUGUUUAUAGCAGAUUCUACUUCAAUCUUCGAACCUUGGCACAUGACAACAGCCUGUAUUCGCUAGUUUAUCUUCUUAACAGAGAAAGAGCAUGGAAGCUGGAGGCUUUUUCAAGGAUGGAACAAGACAAAGUUUUCUAUAGUGCUGCCAAGAACAGGUCUUUGAGUACUGAUGAUUUAAUUCAUUUUCAGCAUGCUAAGGCCAUCCUCUUCUGAAGGAAGAAAUGAGGGGUAGUGCAAACCCUCAUUUUGAUGUGAUCUGAACCUCUCAUCAAAAAAGGCAGGAAAAUAUCACCUCUCCUGCUAACGAACUAGAAAAGUUGGUAUUUUCAAAAGAAGAAACACCUCAAUUCAAGUUAACUCAAGGACAACUAAAUGGCACUUCAUAGUAAAGAAUGGGACCUUGUCAGGGCAACAACACACUCUUACAUUCUUCUGUCCCAUUUAAUGUAAACAGAGUUAUAAAAACCACUCUAAAGUGAAGACUCCUUCUACCCACACACAGAUAUUUGCUUAGUAUGUGGGCUGAUAGCUGUGAACUACGUAAGGC